CUUCCAGUGGGGUCGGCCCCAUGAACUCAGAGGGCAGAAGGCAGCUCUAAAGAGAGGGCUCGCGAACGAAACAACACCCGGUGAAAUGACCCAGGCUGGUAACAUGGUGAUCCAGGGACCCAAUUUCUUUCCAGCUGUACUAUAGAAUUAUUUUGAAGCAAUUCCCAACCACCGUAUUACUUCACUGCAUAAUUAUUAUUGAACAGUUCAGAAAAUGGACUCUGGAAACAAACUGCCUAGAUUCGACCCAGACAAAGUAGCUGUGUGAUCUCAGGGUAAGUUUCCUUACCUUUCUGUGCUUCAAAUGAGGAAAAUGGAGAUAACAGAAUCCACUCCAUAGGACUGAUUAAAUGAGGUGAUACAUAUAUAUAAAGCAUAGUGCCUGGCACAUAGGAUGAGCUAUUUAUGUAUUAUCUAUGAUGUCAUAUGAUGAUGAAAAUGACUUGACCAUGGCGACGGUGAUAACUCUGGCCAGCUGAUCUUAAAGGCCCGAACCCGCUGUCGGGGCUCCUUGAUGACAGUAUCAGUAGUGGCCACUAGGGGGCGUAGGUGGCCUGGGAUGCGCUCGCCCGGUGACUGGCAGGGGGCGCUGCGGCGCUCGUCUGGCGAGCGCAUUGACAGUGUGGACUGUUUCCCUCUGGACGUUCCAGAGGAGAACGCGCUGGUCCCGACAGGUUCCAAGGGCCCCACAGCGCCAGGGUUAGAGGUUAGUGCGGAGGACUUAGGCAAGAAAAAAAGCUAGAUUCUUGGCACACCCUCUAGGCGCAGCGGGGAACGGGGGGUGCUGAGAGGGAUGUUCCCGGCUCUCAAAACCCCACCCUACACCCAGGAUGCUGAAAUUCCACCUCAAAGUUUUCCAGCACUGGGGGCCGCUUCACUCCUCAUUCCUGGGACAUUCAUACAGCAGCGUGGUCAUGGAGGGUAAUGGGAUGCCCGCGGGCUGCCUGGGCACAGGCGCUUGAGGAACUAAGAGUGUUUGGUAAUUGCCUACGUUUGCCGCGUGUGUGUUUUCUGUGAAGCUUUCAACAGAUUCUCAAAGGAAUCUAGAACUCUGAACAGACAGUAUUCAGAACUCUGUCUCUUCCUACAGGAAGUCUUCCUGAUGUUCUCUCAGAUGGGGUCAGGAGCUCCCUCUGGGCAGCCAGAGCCUCUGAUCUUCCCUGUCCCAGCCCGACCCCUCUGCUUGCCUCCGCCUCCCCCAUCUGUGCACAAGUUGUCACAUCUAGCAAUGUGGCCGAGUCCCUCACUGGAUCUCCAUGAAGGCAGGGCCAGGGAUUUCUUGGGCACCAAAAAUAUCACCAGCAUUGUCCAACACAGGGACUGACACGCCAAAAAAAAAAAAAAAAAAAAGUGUGGAGAGGAGUUCUUGUCGUGGCACAGUGGUUAACGAAUCCGACUAGGAACCAUGAGGUGGUGGGUUCGAUCCCUGGCCUCGCUCAUGGGUUAAGGAUCUGGCGUAAGCCGGCAGCUACAGCUCCGAUUAGACCCCUAGCCUGGAAACCUCCAUAUGCC
Molecule: long non-coding RNA, 1512 nt
Filed under: Sus scrofa (pig)
Lineage: Eukaryota; Metazoa; Chordata; Mammalia; Artiodactyla; Suidae
Description: lncRNA (ENSSSCG00000048693.1)
Source: RNAcentral